GGCGUAGUGGCGUAGUGGCCCUGAUUGCUAUGCCGAAGGUCCCGGGUUCGAUUCCCGGCUGGGCAG
Molecule: transfer RNA, 66 nt
Filed under: Plutella xylostella (diamondback moth)
Lineage: Eukaryota; Metazoa; Arthropoda; Insecta; Lepidoptera; Plutellidae
Description: tRNA-Ser
Source: RNAcentral